This is a long non-coding RNA of Syngnathus acus (greater pipefish), 2291 nucleotides long. RefSeq lists it as uncharacterized. The record is from RefSeq and is a predicted model, not a curated record. The transcript is spliced from 2 exons. Lineage: Eukaryota; Metazoa; Chordata; Actinopteri; Syngnathiformes; Syngnathidae.
GGGGGGGGGUACAUGAGAAGGAGGAAAGGACCACGGGGGAUAAAUUGUGAAAAAAGAAAAGAGGGCAGCUAUGGAUGAUGGUGAUGAUAGGUGAUUAGAGAGGACGAGAGGGAGGAAAACAAGCAUAUGGGGUGUCAAUGCAGGGAAAUAAUGUUUGUCAUGCAUGCAUACACACGUGUGCAUGUGUGUGUGUGUGUGUUUUUAUGCGCCCCCCGCCCCUUUCGCUGCCACCCGCUCCCUCAUCAAAGGAUGUAACCACAAGGCGUCAUGCUGUUCCACCCAGAUCGCUUCCCUCCCUCCUCCCUUCAUCCAUCCUCUUCUCUGCAUCAUCAGUCUCAGUGCACAAGAGCCCUCUUCUGGUGAAAUGGGGAUACUGCAGCCGAGCACUGCGGUCACCCCUCCCUCCCCUUCAACACUCAAAGGAAAACAAGGCGCUCGUCAUCAUAACAAAGCCGGUGGCCAAUUCCCAGCGCACGAAUAAAGCAGGCAAUCAAUUACGCCAGGAGAAAGGAAAUGGGCCGCUCGGCUACUCGAGCCGGUGUGGUGCUCCCUGAGGGCCAACCAAUCCAAACAACACGGCAAACACACCCCUUGGGGGGGUCUUGACCUUUGUGGUCAGCAUGCAGAAGCAUUCCUGAUUUACAUCAGUGGUGGGAAGUAACUAAGUACAAAUACUUUAUGACGGCAAAUAGAGCGAACAUCAAAUAAAAGUUUGAUUUCCAAUAUGCGGUCUCACUAAACUAAACUACAAUAAAUAGAGAAAAAAAAAAAACAUCCACCUGUUUUAAUCCAUCUCAGGGGCGGCCAUUUUGACAUUAUACUGCCCUCUGCUGUUAAGUGAAAAUGACAUCACAGCGUAUAAAGGCUCAGCUUUUUUUUUUUUUUAUAGUAUUUUAAUCCACUAGAUGAUCAUGACAGGAAGCCUAAAGGUCAGCAAUGACUUUGAGCAUUGAGUCGACAUGGGACAAACUCAAAUGUUAUUAGCAUUGGGUGGUGCUUGAAUAGCCAUAUAUGGAAAGGGAUAUUUAAAAAAAAAAAAAAAAAGUCUACACACCCCUGGCCAAAUGCGGAUAUAAAAAAAAUUAGAUCAGGAUAAAACGUUUAAAAAUUUGGUCCACUAUUAACAUGACCAAUUAACAUGUACAAUUCAAUCGAAAAUGUAUUUCUACCUCACCAAUUGUUUUUCAAUGGAGUUGCACAGCUCAUAUGGCACAUUAAAGGUAGAACAAAUUCUGAAAAGAUUUUUCCUCAGUUUGGUGUUUUGGUUGCACGAAAAAGUAAUCAACUGUUCAUCUACGGUUUCCUUUUCUUUAUUGUUUAUCCUCAAUUCUAUAUUCUCAAAUGUAAAAGUCGUAAUGUAAUGAAUUUUGAAUAGCUUGAUUACGGAUUAUUUGAUUCCGUAUCAUCCAAUAAUUGGCCCGUCAUUAGACCUCAAGGGCUCCAAAUGGACUUGAAACAGCCAAUGUUUGACCCACAAGACAAAGCAAAUGGGCGGAAGUGAGAGAUUAGCCGGGAAGGGAAGGAGGAUUUAUAGAUGCUGGGUAGAGGAGAGCUGAGAAGGACAGGGAUGAAAGGUUAACGUCAAGGUCAAGGAUUUGGAGGUUUUCCAAGGCGCCGGGCGGACACGACAGGAACGCGCCACCUCCAUAAUUUUCAUUCACCUCCAAAAGAAGAAUCCACUGCUUCCUUCUUAUCACUUGUUUUUUGCAUCCUACUGGCAGGUGGGCUCAUUUUGGGUUGGUGUUGGGGUGGGGUAGGUGGUGGUGGUGGUUUCUGGGUUAUCCUCAGUCUAAAAAUAGCAGCAGCUGUAGAUUUAUAAUGCAGGACCAGUGAGUGUGUGUAAAAGAGUGGACGGGGUGGGGAGCAAAUGGAGGAAAGAGAGGCGAGAGCGUUACGGGAAAGAGAACGACGGAGCCAGUUGGCAGGCGGGAAGUGACGGAAGGAAGCAAGCCAGGGGCGUUAUGAAAUUGGAGACUUGGCAUGAAUGUGUGCGUGUGUGAUGCUGCGGAAUGCAGAAGAUGGAGCAAGUUGGCAGAGGUGGAGGUGAUGCUGUGUGAGGAAGUCUAGACGUUUAACCGAUACUUCCUGAAUGAGAUCCUGGCCAAUGUUUAACAAUGCAUCUUUGCCUGUGCAUGCGUGUGUGUUGUGCAAUAUGAUUUCUUUAUCAAACCAUCCCCUCUCAGGCCUUGACACACACACACACACACACACACAUAUGCAAGUCAAAGGGUGCAGAAAAAAAGAGCAAGAAGCAUGCCCAUCUGCAGCCUAUGGGGAAACACCCACCAUUG